UACGGAGGGUGCAAACGUUGCUCGGAAUUAUUGGGCGUAAAGCGCACGUAGGCGGACCGAUAAGUCGGAUGUGAAAGCCCUCGGCUUAACCGAGGAAGUGCAUUCGAAACUAUCGGUCUUGAGUAUGGAAGAGGGUCGCGGAAUUCCCGGUGUAGAGGUGAAAUUCGUAGAUAUCGGGAGGAACACCAGUGGCGAAGGCGGCGACCUGGGCCAAUACUGACGCUGAGGUGCGAAAGCGUGGGGAGCAAACAGG
RNAcentral lists this ribosomal RNA (253 nucleotides) under uncultured bacterium. RNAcentral describes it as "partial 16S ribosomal RNA". It matches the Rfam family "Bacterial small subunit ribosomal RNA", at positions 524 to 776 of the family's 1533-position model. The record is from RNAcentral.